GUUACUACUUGUCUUUUUAGUAAUAGCCAUUAUGACGAGUGUGAGGUUAUAUCUCAUUGGGCUUUUGAUUUGCAUUUCCCUAAUAAUUAGUGAUGACCAUCUUUUCAUGUUCCUGUUGGUUUUCUGUAUAUCUUCUUUAGAAAUAUAUCUGUUGAGAUCGUGUGCCCAUCUUUUAAUUGGUUUGUUCACUUUUUGUUUUUGUUAUAUGAGUACUUUAUAUAUUUUGAAUAUUACCCUCUUAAUGGAUAAAUAAUUUGCAAGUAUCUUUUCCCAAUUGGUAAACUGUCUUUUCAUUUUAUUGAUAGCUUCUUUUGCCCUAAUGAACCUUUUCAGUUUGAUGUAGUCCUGUUUAUUUUUUCUUUUGUUUACUUUUCCUGGGGAGACAUAUUCAAAAAGAUACUACUAAGACCAAUGUCAAAGAGUGUACUGUCUAUGUUUUCUUCUAGGAGUUUUAUAGUUUCAGGUCUUAAUUCAAGUCUAAUCCAUUUUGAGUUGAUUUUUGUGUUUGGUGUAAGAUAGUCGGUCUACUUUCAUUCUUUUGCACGUGGCUGUCCAGUUUUCCAUUUAUGGAAGAGACUUUCUUCAUUGUAUGUUCUUGGCUCUUUCGUUGAAGAUUAACUGUCCGUAGAUGUAUGGUUUUAUUUCUGGGCUUUCAAUUCUGUUCCAAUGGUCUGUGUCCCUGUUUUUGUGCCAGUACCAUGCUGUUUUGAUUACUAUAGCUUUGUAGUAUAUAAAUCAGGGAUUGUGAUGCCUCCAGCUGUGUUCUUUUUUCUCAGGAUUGGUUUGGCUAUUUGGAGUCUUUUAGGAUUCUUUGGUCUAUUUCCGUGAAAAAUGUCAUUUGGACUUUGAUAGGGAUUAUAUUCAAUCUGUAGAUUGCUUUAGGUAGUGUGGACAUUGUAUCUGUUUAGUUCUUCUAAUUCAUGAACAUGGAAUAUCCUUUCACUCAACGUGCCCUGAUGAGCAGUGCCAUGUCCACGCCCAGGAUCUGAGCCAGUGAAACCCUGGGCUGCCAUAGCGGAGCGCACGGACUUAACCGCUGGGCCAUGGGGCCGGUCCCUCUUUGAUUUCUUUUAACAAUAUUUUAUAGUUUUCAGUGUGCAGGUCUUGUACCUCUUCGGCUAAAUUUAUUCCUAGGUUUUUUAUUCAUUUUGUUGUGAUUGUAAAUGAGAUUGUAUUCUUGAUUUCUUUUUCUGCUAUUUUUGUUAUUAGCAUACAGAAAUGCCUCUGAUUUUUAUAUGUUAAUUUUGUGCCCUGUAACUUCACUGUAUUCUUUAUUUAUAAUAGUUUUUUGAUGGAUUAGGAUUUAGGAUUUUCUACAUAUAAAAUCAUGUCACCUGCAAAUAGUGAUAGUUUCACUUCUUCCUUUCCAAUUUGGAUCCUCUUCUUUCCUUUUCUUCCCUAAUUGCUCUGGCUAGGACUUCCAAUUCUAUAUGGAAUAAGGGUGGUGAAAGUGAGCAUCCUUGUCUUGUUUCUGUUCUUAGAGUGAUAGCUUUCAGUUUUUCACCAUUGAGUGUGAUGUUGGCUGUGGGUUUGUCAUAUAUAGUUUAUGUUGAGGUACUUGCCUUCUACACCCAUUUUAUACAGAGUUUUUUUUUUAUCACAAAUAGAUGCUGAAUCUUGUCAAAUGCUUUAUCUGCAUUUAUUGAGGUGAUCAUGUGAUUUUUAUUCUUCAUUUGUUAAUGUGGUGUAUUACGUUGAUUGAGGAUGGUGAACCAACCCUACAUCCCUAGAAUAAAUCCCGCUUGAUUGUAGUGUAUGAUCCUUUUAAUGUAUUGUUGUAUUCUAUUUGCCAAUAUUCUGUUGAGGACUUUUGGAUUGAUGUUCCUUAGUGAUAUUGGCCUGUAGUUUUCUUUUUUUGUGUUGUCCUUGUCUGGUUUUGGUAUCAGGGUAACGUUGACUCUGUAAAAUGAGUUAGGAAGGUUUGAGUAGGAUAGAUAAUAAGUUUUCUUUGAAUGUUUGGUUGUUUGGUAGAAUUCACCAAAGAAGCUAUCUGGUCCUGGACUUUUGUUUUUUAGGAGGUUUUUGAUUACUGUUUUGAUCUUUCUAGUGAUCAGUCUACUCACGUUCUCUGUUUCUUAUUGAUUCAGUUUUGGAAGGUUGUAUAAUUCUAAAGAUUUAUCUAUUUCUUCUAGGUCAUCCAAUUUGUUGGCAUAUAUCUUUUCAUAGUAUUCUUCUAUAAUCCUUUGUGUUUCUGUGGUAUCUGUUUUAAUUUCUUCUGUUUUGUUUCUGGUUUUAUUUGUGCCUUCUCUCAUCUUUUUAGUGAAUCUAGCUGAAGGUUUGUCAAUUUUAUCUUUUCAAAGAACUAGGUCUUAGUUUCAUUGAUCUUUUCUAUUGUCUUUUUAGUCUCUGUUUCAUUUAUUUUUGCUCAGAUUUUUAUUAUUUCCUUCCUUCUACUGAUUUUGGGCUUCAUUUGUUCUCUUUCUAGUUCCCUUAGGUGUUAUUUUAGAUUGUUUAUUUGAGGUUUUUCUCAUUCCUUUAGGUAGGCCCGUAUUGCUAUAAACUUCUCUCUUAGUACCGCUUUUUCUGUAUCAUACAUUUUUGUGUGUUGUAUUUUCAUUUUCAUUUGUCUCCAGGUAUUUUUUAAUUUCUCCUUUGAUUUUGUCACUGACCCAAUACUUGUAGUAUUUUGUUCAAUCUCCACAUAUUUGUGACUUUCCAGUUUUUUUCUUGUAGUUGAUUUCUGGUUUCAUAAUGUUGUGGUCAGAAAAGAUGCUUGAUAUUAUUUUAAUCUUCUUAAAUUUAUUGAGACUUGUUUUGUGACUUAAUAUGUGUUCUCUCCUGGAGAAUGUUUCAUGUGCGUUAUAAAAGAAUGUGUAUUCUGCAAUUUUUGGAUGGAAUUUUCUGUAUGUAUCUACUAAGUCCAUCUGGUCUAAUGUGUCUUUUAAGGUCAGUGUUUCCUUAUUGAUCUUCUGUUUGUAUGAUCUAGCCUUUGAUGUAAGCAGGGUGUUAACAUCCCCUACUAUUAUUGUGUUACUGUCAAUUUCUUCUUCUAUGUGUGUUAAUAUUUGCUUUAUGUAUUUAGGUGCUCUUAUGUUGGGUGCAUAGAUACGUACAAGUGUUACAUAUAUGCAGGUGUUUACAAGUGAUAUUUAUAAGUGUUCCCUAUUCCAUUAUGUACCACCCUCUGUCUUUUGAUUGUAGCAUUUAGUCCAUUGACAUUUAAAGUAAUUAUUGAUAGGUAUGUACUUAUUGCCAUUUUGUUACUUUUUUGUUUUUUGUAGUUCAUAUCUGUUUGCCUCUUGCUCUUUUCCCUUGUGAAUUUAAUGACUUUCUUUAGUGUUAUGUUUAGGUUCCUUUCUCUUUAUUUUUUUGUCUAUUUAUUACAGGUUUUGGUUUGUAGUUACCAUGAGGUCAUAUAUGAUAACCUAUUAAAUAGCAUUCUAUGUUAAGUUGAUGAUCUCAUAAAUUUGACCUCAUAUUAAAAGCCCUACACUUUUACUCCCCUCCCCACAUACUAUGUU
This is a long non-coding RNA of Equus caballus (horse), 3461 nucleotides long. Lineage: Eukaryota; Metazoa; Chordata; Mammalia; Perissodactyla; Equidae. The record is from Ensembl.